CAGUCGCCACGGUAAUAUGUAGGUGGCAAGCGUUGUCCGGAAUUAUUGGGCGUAAAGGGCUCGCAGGCGGUUUCUUAAGUCUAAUGUGAAAGCCCCCGGCUCAACCGGGGAGGGUCAUUGGAAACUGGGAAACUUGAGUGCAGAAGAGGAGGGUGGAAUUCCACGUGUAGCGGUGAAAUGCGUAGAGAUGUGGAGGAACACCAGUGGCGAAGGCGACUCUCUGGUCUGUAACUGACGCUGAGGAGCGAAAGCGUGGGGAGCGAACAGGAUUAGAUACCCGUGUAGUCCCUGUCUCUUAUAC
RNAcentral lists this ribosomal RNA (301 nucleotides) under uncultured bacterium. Its description in RNAcentral is "partial 16S ribosomal RNA". It matches the Rfam family "Bacterial small subunit ribosomal RNA", at positions 509 to 807 of the family's 1533-position model. The record is from RNAcentral.